Molecule: ribosomal RNA, 2918 nt
Filed under: Acinetobacter baumannii
Lineage: Bacteria; Pseudomonadati; Pseudomonadota; Gammaproteobacteria; Moraxellales; Moraxellaceae
Description: bacterial LSU rRNA
Rfam family: Bacterial large subunit ribosomal RNA
Source: RNAcentral
GUUGUAUAGUCAAGUAAUUAAGUGCAUGUGGUGGAUGCCUUGGCAGUCAGAGGCGAUGAAAGACGUGAUAGCCUGCGAAAAGCUCCGGGGAGGCGGCAAAUAUCCUUUGAUCCGGAGAUGUCUGAAUGGGGGAACCCACCUACUUUAAGGUAGGUAUUGCAACAUGAAUACAUAGUGUUGCAAGGCGAACGAGGGGAAGUGAAACAUCUCAGUACCCUUAGGAAAAGAAAUCAAUUGAGAUUCCCUCAGUAGCGGCGAGCGAACGGGGAUCAGCCCAUUAAGUUAUGUGUGUUUUAGUGGAACGCUCUGGGAAGUGCGAACGUAGAGGGUGAUAUUCCCGUACACGAAAGGGCACACAUAAUGAUGACGAGUAGGGCGAGGCACGUGAAACCUUGUCUGAAUAUGGGGGGACCAUCCUCCAAGGCUAAAUACUCCUGACUGACCGAUAGUGAACCAGUACCGUGAGGGAAAGGCGAAAAGAACCCCUGUGAGGGGAGUGAAAUAGAUCCUGAAACCGCAUGCAUACAAGCAGUGGGAGCACCUUCGUGGUGUGACUGCGUACCUUUUGUAUAAUGGGUCAGCGACUUAUAUUCAGUAGCGAGGUUAACCGUAUAGGGGAGCCGUAGAGAAAUCGAGUCUUAAUAGGGCGUUUAGUUGCUGGGUAUAGACCCGAAACCAGGCGAUCUAUCCAUGAGCAGGUUGAAGGUUGGGUAACACUAACUGGAGGACCGAACCCACUGUCGUUGAAAAGCCAGGGGAUGACUUGUGGAUAGGGGUGAAAGGCUAAUCAAGCCUGGUGAUAGCUGGUUCUCCCCGAAAGCUAUUUAGGUAGCGCCUCGGACGAAUACCAUAGGGGGUAGAGCACUGUUUCGGCUAGGGGGUCAUCCCGACUUACCAAACCGAUGCAAACUCCGAAUACCUAUGAGUACUAUCCGGGAGACAGACUGCGGGUGCUAACGUCCGUAGUCAAGAGGAAAACAAUCCAGACCGCCAGCUAAGGCCCCAAAAUCAUAGUUAAGUGGGAAACGAUGUGGGAAGGCAUAGACAGCUAGGAGGUUGGCUUAGAAGCAGCCACCCUUUAAAGAAAGCGUAAUAGCUCACUAGUCGAGUCGGCCUGCGCGGAAGAUGUAACGGGGCUAAAACUAUGUGCCGAAGCUGCGGAUGUAUACUUUGUAUACGUGGUAGGGGAGCGUUCUGUAAGCCGAUGAAGGUGUGUUGAGAAGCAUGCUGGAGGUAUCAGAAGUGCGAAUGCUGACGUGAGUAACGACAAAACGGGUGAAAAACCCGUUCGCCGAAAGACCAAGGGUUCCAGUCCAACGUUAAUCGGGGCUGGGUGAGUCGACCCCUAAGGCGAGGCCGAAAGGCGUAGUCGAUGGGAAAAUGGUUAAUAUUCCAUUACUUCUGUGUAAUGCGAUGAGAGGACGGAGAAGGCUAAAUCAGCCUGGCGUUGGUUGUCCAGGUGAAAGGAUGUAGGCAUGUAUCUUAGGCAAAUCCGGGGUACUCUAUGCUGAGAUCUGAUAGCAAGCUGUACUUGUACAGCGAAGUGGUUGAUGCCAUGCUUCCAGGAAAAGUCUCUAAGCUUCAGUUACACAGGAAUCGUACCCGAAACCGACACAGGUGGUCAGGUCGAGUAGACCAAGGCGCUUGAGAGAACUCUGCUGAAGGAACUAGGCAAAAUGGUACCGUAACUUCGGGAGAAGGUACGCUGUUGUUGGUGAUGGAACUCGCUUCCUGAGCUGACGACAGCCGCAGAAACCAGGCCGCUGCAACUGUUUAUUAAAAACAUAGCACUCUGCAAACACGAAAGUGGACGUAUAGGGUGUGAUGCCUGCCCGGUGCUGGAAGGUUAAUUGAUGGGGUUAGCGUAAGCGAAGCUCUUGAUCGAAGCCCCAGUAAACGGCGGCCGUAACUAUAACGGUCCUAAGGUAGCGAAAUUCCUUGUCGGGUAAGUUCCGACCUGCACGAAUGGCAUAAUGAUGGCGGCGCUGUCUCCAGCAGAGGCUCAGUGAAAUCGAAAUCGCUGUGAAGAUGCAGUGUACCCGCGGCUAGACGGAAAGACCCCGUGAACCUUUACUGCAGCUUGACACUGAACUUUGACCUUACUUGUGUAGGAUAGGUGGGAGGCUUUGAAGCUGGAACGAUAGUUCCAGUGGAGCCGUCCUUGAAAUACCACCCUGGUAAUGUUGAGGUUCUAACUCUGUCCCGUGAUCCGGGACGAGGACCGUGUCUGGUGGGUAGUUUGACUGGGGCGGUCUCCUCCUAAAGAGUAACGGAGGAGUACGAAGGUGCGCUCAGCGUGGUCGGAAAUCACGCGUAGAGUAUAAAGGCAAAAGCGCGCUUAACUGCGAGACCCACAAGUCGAGCAGGUACGAAAGUAGGUCUUAGUGAUCCGGUGGUUCUGUAUGGAAGGGCCAUCGCUCAACGGAUAAAAGGUACUCUGGGGAUAACAGGCUGAUACCGCCCAAGAGUUCAUAUCGACGGCGGUGUUUGGCACCUCGAUGUCGGCUCAUCUCAUCCUGGGGCUGAAGCAGGUCCCAAGGGUAUGGCUGUUCGCCAUUUAAAGAGGUACGCGAGCUGGGUUUAGAACGUCGUGAGACAGUUCGGUCCCUAUCUACCGUGGGCGCUGGAAAUUUGAGAGGAUCUGCUCCUAGUACGAGAGGACCAGAGUGGACGAACCUCUGGUGUACCGGUUGUGACGCCAGUCGCAUCGCCGGGUAGCUAUGUUCGGAAGGGAUAACCGCUGAAAGCAUCUAAGCGGGAAGCCUACCUCAAGAUAAGAUUUCCCUAGGACUUUAUGUCCUCUAAAGAGCCGUUCGAGACUAGGACGUUGAUAGGUUGGAUGUGGAAGCAUAGUGAUAUGUGAAGCUGACCAAUACUAAUUGCUCGUGAGGCUUGACUAUACAACACCCAAGCAGUUG